GGGCAAAGCCUGAUGGAGCAACACCGGGUUGAGUGAAGAAGGGUUUCGGCUCGUAAAGCUUCUGUUGUAAAAGAAGAACAACGUAUGAGAGUAACUGUUCAUACGUUGACGGUAUUUAACCAGAAAGUCACGGCUAACUACGUGCAGCAGCCGCGGUAAUACGUAGGUGGCAAGCGUUAUCCGGAUUUAUUGGGCGUAAAGAGAGUGCAGGCGGUUUUCUAAGUCUGAUGUGAAAGCCUUCGGCUUAACCGGAGAAGUGCAUCGGAAACUGGAUAACUUGAGUGCAGAAGAGGGUAGUGGAACUCCAUGUGUAGCGGUGGAAUGCGUAGAUAUAUGGAAGAACACCAGUGGCGAAGGCGGCUACCUGGUCUGCAACUGACGCUGAGACUCGAAAGCAUGGGUAGCGAACAGGAUUAGAUACCCUGGUAGUCCAUGCCGUAAACGAUGAGUGCUAGGUGUUGGAGGGUUUCCGCCCUUCAGUGCCGGAGCUAACGCAUUAAGCACUCCGCCUGGGGAGUACGACCGCAAGGUUGAAACUCAAAGGAAUUGACGGGGGCCCGCACAAGCGGUGGAGCAUGUGGUUUAAUUCGAAGCUACGCGAAGAACCUUACCAGGUCUUGACAUCUUGCGCCAACCCUAGAGAUAGGGCGUUUCCUUCGGGAACGCAAUGACAGGUGGUGCAUGGUCGUCGUCAGCUCGUGUCGUGAGAUGUUGGGUUAAGUCCCGCAACGAGCGCAACCCUUGUUACUAGUUGCCAGCAUUAAGUUGGGCACUCUAGUGAGACUGCCGGUGACAAACCGGAGGAAGGUGGGGACGACGUCAGAUCAUCAUGCCCCUUAUGACCUGGGCUACACACGUGCUACAAUGGACGGUACAACGAGUCGCGAACUCGCGAGGGCAAGCAAAUCUCUUAAAACCGUUCUCAGUUCGGACUGCAGGCUGCAACUCGCCUGCACGAAGUCGGAAUCGCUAGUAAUCGCGGAUCAGCAUGCCGCGGUGAAUACGUUCCCGGGCCUUGUACACACCGCCCGUCACACCAUGAGAGUUUGUAACACCCAAAGUCGGUGGGGUAACCUUUUAGGAGCCAGCCGCCUAAGGUGGGACAGAUGAUUAGGGUGAAGUCG
This 1124-nucleotide ribosomal RNA is filed under the name Limosilactobacillus fermentum. RNAcentral's name for it is "bacterial SSU rRNA". It matches the Rfam family "Bacterial small subunit ribosomal RNA", at positions 373 to 1488 of the family's 1533-position model. The record is from RNAcentral. Lineage: Bacteria; Bacillati; Bacillota; Bacilli; Lactobacillales; Lactobacillaceae.